AAUUGGAGGGCAAGUCUGGUGCCAGCAGCCGCGGUAAUUCCAGCUCCAAUAGCGUAUAUUAAAGUUGUUGCAGUUAAAAAGCUCGUAGUUGAAUUUCGGGAUUGACGUGAUGGUCAUGCCUUAAGGGGUAUGAACUGUUGCAGUUGAUUUCUCACCUUCUGGAGAAACUUGAUGUCCUUUAUUGGGUGUCUUGCGGAACCAGGACCUUUACCUUGAAAAAAUUAGAGUGUUUAAAGCAGGCAUUUUGCUCGAAUACAUUAGCAUGGAAUAAUAGAAUAGGACGGCAUGGUUCUAUUUUGUUGGUUUCUAGGAUCACCGUAAUGAUUAAUAGGGAUAGUUGGGGGCAUUAGUAUUCAAUUGUCAGAGGUGAAAUUCUUGGAUUUAUUGAAGACUAACUACUGCGAAAGCAUUUGCCAAGGAUGUUUUCAUUAAUCAAGAACGAAAGUUAGGGGAUCGAAGACGAUCAGAUACCGUCGUAGUCUUAACCAUAAACUAUGCCGACUAGGAAUCAGACGAUGUUAAUUUUUUAAUGACUCGUUUGGCACCUUACGGGAAACCAAAGUGU
RNAcentral lists this ribosomal RNA (565 nucleotides) under uncultured Glomus. RNAcentral describes it as "SSU rRNA". It matches the Rfam family "Eukaryotic small subunit ribosomal RNA", at positions 546 to 1106 of the family's 1831-position model. The record is from RNAcentral. Lineage: Eukaryota; Fungi; Glomeromycota; Glomeromycetes; Glomerales; Glomeraceae.